CACGGGGGGAGCAAGCGUUGUUCGGAAUUACUGGGCGUAAAGCGUACGUAGGCGGAUCUGUAAGUAGGGGGUGAAAUCCCCAGGCUCAACCUGGGAACUGCCUUCUAGACUGCAAGUCUUGAGAUCAGGAGAGGCGAGUGGAAUUCCGAGUGUAGAGGUGAAAUUCGUAGAUAUUCGGAGGAACACCAGUGGCGAAGGCGACUCGCUGGACUGAUACUGACGCUGAGGUACGAAAGCGUGGGGAGCAAACAGG
RNAcentral lists this ribosomal RNA (253 nucleotides) under uncultured bacterium. Its description in RNAcentral is "partial 16S ribosomal RNA". It matches the Rfam family "Bacterial small subunit ribosomal RNA", at positions 524 to 776 of the family's 1533-position model. The record is from RNAcentral.